Non-coding RNA from Halocaridina rubra (Hawaiian volcano shrimp), 76 nucleotides. NCBI's taxonomy places the organism in Eukaryota, Metazoa, Arthropoda, Malacostraca, Decapoda, Atyidae. The record is from the annotation of a GenBank genome assembly.
GCCCGUGGUCGAGUGGUAACGCUCACGACUUUGAUUCGUCAGGUCGUGGGUUCGAGGCCUGCCACGGCUUGAGGCU